AUUAGAAUAGAAUUCAGUUGUUGGAAUUACAAACUACAUUGAUCUUGGGUUUGAGCUACAAACAAGUGUUGAUGAUGCAAUAGCAGCAAACAAUAUCUCCGACUCCACUUUUCAAAUUGGUGCAUCCUGGCAAGCCAAUAAAAACUUCUUGCUGAAGGCAAAAGUUGGACCUAGUAGCUCAUCACUGGCACUUGCAUUCAAGUCAUGGUGGAAACCUUCUUUCACUUUCAGCAUUUCAGCCACAAGGGAUCGUGCCGAUGGUAAAGUACAAUUCGGGUUUGGUAUUCAAAGUGAAAGUCUUCGAGAAGCCAGGUUACUUUCUUUGCAAAAUUUGAUUUUUUUUCAAUUCAGUUAAAUUAUCUCCUAAUAAAGUAUCACUU
Molecule: long non-coding RNA, 380 nt
Organism: Arachis ipaensis
Lineage: Eukaryota; Viridiplantae; Streptophyta; Magnoliopsida; Fabales; Fabaceae
Source: RefSeq, a predicted model, not a curated record